GCCUAGUCCUAAACCAAAGCAGCCUAAUACCCCACCGCUCGCCAGGGUACUACAAGCUCCGGCUUGAAAUCCAAAGGACUUGGCGGUGCUUCACACCCAUCUAGAGGAGCCUGUUCUAGAAUCGACAAUACCCGCUUAACCUCACCCUCUCUUGUUCUUUCCCGCCUAUAUACCGCCGUCGUCAGCUCACCCUGUGAAGGCUCAGCAGUAGGCUCAAUCGGCAUAGCCCAAAACGCCAGGUCAAGGUGUAGCGUAUGAGGGGGGACAGCAAUGGGCUACAUUUACUGAUUCAGUAAAUUACGGAUUAUGCUCUGAAAGAGGCAUAUGAAGGCGGAUUUAGUAGUAAGGAGAGAGCAGAGUGCUCUCCUGAAAAUGGCACUGAAGCGCGCACAUACCGCCCGUCACCCUCCCCGAACGACCAAUAAUGCUUAUAUUUAAUACAAGUCUGUCCCAGAGGGGAGGCAAGUCGUAACAUGGUAAGCGUACCGGAAGGUGUGCUUGGAAAAACC
RNAcentral lists this ribosomal RNA (509 nucleotides) under Tigrigobius multifasciatus. Its description in RNAcentral is "partial 12S ribosomal RNA". It matches the Rfam family "Bacterial small subunit ribosomal RNA", at positions 794 to 1528 of the family's 1533-position model. The record is from RNAcentral. Lineage: Eukaryota; Metazoa; Chordata; Actinopteri; Gobiiformes; Gobiidae.